This 492-nucleotide ribosomal RNA is filed under the name uncultured bacterium. RNAcentral's name for it is "partial 16S ribosomal RNA". It matches the Rfam family "Bacterial small subunit ribosomal RNA", at positions 29 to 507 of the family's 1533-position model. The record is from RNAcentral.
AGUGAACGCUGGCGGUAGGCCUAACACAUGCAAGUCGAACGGCAGCACAGUAAGAGCUUGCUCUUACGGGUGGCGAGUGGCGGACGGGUGAGGAAUACAUCGGAAUCUACUUUUUCGUGGGGGAUAACGUAGGGAAACUUACGCUAAUACCGCAUACGACCUACGGGUGAAAGCAGGGGAUCUUCGGACCUUGCGCGAUUGAAUGAGCCGAUGUCGGAUUAGCUAGUUGGCGGGGUAAAGGCCCACCAAGGCGACGAUCCGUAGCUGGUCUGAGAGGAUGAUCAGCCACACUGGAACUGAGACACGGUCCAGACUCCUACGGGAGGCAGCAGUGGGGAAUAUUGGACAAUGGGCGCAGGCCUGAUCCAGCCAUACCGCGUGGGUGAAGAAGGCCUUCGGGUUGUAAAGCCCCUUUGUUGGGAAAGAAAAGCAGCAGGUUAAUACCCCGCUGUUCUGACGGUACCCAAAGAAUAAGCACCGGCUAACUUCGUG